RNAcentral lists this ribosomal RNA (440 nucleotides) under uncultured bacterium. RNAcentral's name for it is "partial 16S ribosomal RNA". It matches the Rfam family "Bacterial small subunit ribosomal RNA", at positions 338 to 795 of the family's 1533-position model. The record is from RNAcentral.
CCUACGGGAGGCAGCAGUGGGGAAUAUUGCACAAUGGGGGAAACCCUGAUGCAGCGAUGCCGCGUGGAGGAAGAAGGUUUUCGGAUUGUAAACUCCUUUUAUCAGGGACGAUAAUGACGGUACCUGAAGAAAAAGCUCCGGCUACCUACGUGCCAGCAGCCGCGGUAAUACGUAGGGAGCGAGCGUUGUCCGGAAUUACUGGGUGUAAGGGGAGCGUAGGCCGCAUGUCAAGCGUGCUGUGAAAUGUCCGGGCUCAACCCGGGCCUUGCAGCGCGAACUGGCGUGCUUGAGUCCGCGGAAAGCAGGCGGAAUUCGUCGUGUAGCGGUGAAAUGCUUAGAUAUGACGAAGAACCCCGAUUGCGAAGGCAGCUUGCUGCAGCGGAACUGACGCUGAUGCUCGAAAGCGCGGGUAUCGAACAGGAUUAGAUACCCCAGUAGUC